RNAcentral lists this transfer RNA (72 nucleotides) under Camelus ferus (Wild Bactrian camel). It matches the Rfam family "tRNA". From Rfam's summary of the family: Transfer RNA (tRNA) molecules are approximately 80 nucleotides in length. The record is from Rfam by way of RNAcentral. Lineage: Eukaryota; Metazoa; Chordata; Mammalia; Artiodactyla; Camelidae.
GAGGGUAUAGCUCAGUGGUAGUGUGCAUGCCUGGCAUGCAUGAGGUCCUGGAUUCAAUCCCCAGUAACUCCA